Small nucleolar RNA from Cynocephalus volans (Philippine flying lemur), 133 nucleotides. RefSeq annotates it as small nucleolar RNA SNORA61. The record is from RefSeq and is a predicted model, not a curated record. The transcript has a single exon. NCBI's taxonomy places the organism in Eukaryota, Metazoa, Chordata, Mammalia, Dermoptera, Cynocephalidae.
ACCCUCUGGUUCCCUUUCCCAUCAGAUCUGUACACCGGUCUUGGUGGUCGUAAAAGGAGGGAAAGUAAUAUUGACGCUGGCCUCGCAGUGUUGUAAUCUGGCAUUAUAGCAUAUGGGCUAGUUUCGUACAGGU